Molecule: long non-coding RNA, 359 nt
Organism: Solea senegalensis (Senegalese sole)
Lineage: Eukaryota; Metazoa; Chordata; Actinopteri; Pleuronectiformes; Soleidae
Exons: 3
Source: RefSeq, a predicted model, not a curated record
GUCAGGGGCUAUUUUCCCCAUUCUCCACAUUUUCCCCCUUUUUCCUUCCUCUUUGGCAUUCAUUUUUAUUGGCUGCCUUGUUUUGUACCCUGUGCCCAUGGUCCUCAGUUUAAAGAAGCUGGGAUUCUUUCCCCUCAUUUCCUUUUGUGAAGAGGUGCGUGCUGGGAAUAUCUAUGGCCACUCAUAUCAGAGAAAUACCCAGUAUUACAACACCUGAUCUUUGAGAUAAAGGCUUUUGUAGACGGAAGGUCAUUAGUCAGAGCUACAUGGAGCCUCUAAGUCAAUCUGAAUGAGGAAUUACAAAUACCGGACACACAUUGUAUGGCAAUGGGUCACCACCUCUUUUUCCCCUAAUUGAU